Molecule: ribosomal RNA, 254 nt
Filed under: uncultured bacterium
Lineage: Bacteria
Description: partial 16S ribosomal RNA
Rfam family: Bacterial small subunit ribosomal RNA
Source: RNAcentral
UACGAAGGGGGCUAGCGUUGCUCGGAAUCACUGGGCGUAAAGCGCACGUAGGCGGAUUCCUAAGUCGGGGGGGAAAUCCUGGAGCUCAACUCCAGAACUGCCUCCGAUACUGAGAGUCUUCGAGUCCGGGAGAGGUGAGUGGAACUGCGAGUGUAGAGGUGAAAUUCGUAGAUAUUCGCAAGAACACCAGUGGCGAAGGCGGCUCACUGGCCCGGUACUGACGCUGAGGUGCGAAAGCGUGGGGAGCAAACAGG